Molecule: RNA transcript, 3348 nt
Organism: Sceloporus undulatus (fence lizard)
Lineage: Eukaryota; Metazoa; Chordata; Lepidosauria; Squamata; Phrynosomatidae
Gene: ZNF703
Gene name: zinc finger protein 703
Exons: 3
Source: RefSeq, a predicted model, not a curated record
GGCAGCAGGGCGGCUUCUGCUCCUGGGAUCGGCGGAGGGCGAGGGUCCCGGGGGCUCUGGCUUCUGCCCCGCUCUCCCCUCGGGCCCCUGGGCGGCUGCUGCUGCCCCAAAUGAGCGCUGGCUCCGCCGCUGCUGCAGACCAAGCCCAGAGCAGCCUCGUCCCCGCGGAGCCCCCUUCCUCCCCGCUCCCUCCGGAGGACCCCCAGCGCCAAGCCAAGCGGCUCCCCAUCCGGCUGCUGAAGAUGCUCAGCGCCCACGGAGGACACCUCCUCCACCCGGAAUACCUCCAGCCCCUCUCCUCCACCCCGGUCAGCCCCAUCGAGCUGGAUGCCAAAAAAAGCCCCUUGGCACUCUUGGCCCAAACCUGCUCCCAGAUUGGCAAGCCGGAUCCCCCGCCAGCUUCCAAACUCAACGCCGGAGCUUCGUCAGGCCUCUCUGGAACAGAGAAGGAGUCCAGCAGCCGCCCGGCCACCGCUGCCCUCAAGCAACUGGGCGACCCUCCUGUCGAGGACAAGUCCAGCUUCAAGCCUUAUGCCAAAGGAGGCAGCAGCAGCGGAGGAGGAGGAGGAGGAGGAGGAGGAGGGGAGCCAAGGAAGGAUGGAGGAGCCGUAGGGGCAUCCAGCCAAGGAGCCGAGAAGGCCGGCUUCCGCGUGCCCAGCAGCAAUUGCCCGCCAUUCCCUCCUCCUCACACUGUUGCUUCUUCUUCCUCAGCUUCCUCUUCUCCUGGGGGCUCCUCCCGGGGCAGUUCUCCCCAACAGGCGGAUUGCAAAGGCCCUGAGGAGAAAAAGGAGCCCGACAUGAUGGGCAAAGCCACCCCAGAGGGCAACAGCAACGAGCCUGGAGGAACUCACGUCGUGGAGGCUGGCACUGGACGUAAAUCAGAGCCCCCUCCAUCUUUGGCAGCCCCGGGCCAUGUGGCUCCAGUCUCCCCUUACAAGCCGGGCCACUCAGUCUUCCCCUUGCCCCCUUCCGGCAUCGGCUACCACGGCUCCAUUGUCGGGGCCUAUGCAGGCUACCCAUCUCAGUUCAUGCCCACUUUGGAUCCUACCAAGCCCAGCCUGGUGAGCAGUCAGUUGCCGGGGGCCUUGGGCUUGCCAGGGAAGCCCCCCAGCUCCAGCCCUUUGACGGGGGCCUCCCCGCCUUCCUUCAUGCAAGGAUUAUGCCGAGACCCCUAUUGCCUCAGCUACCACAGCGCCUCCCACUUGGGCACCAGCAACUGCUCCAGCUGCGUCCAUGACCCGGCCAGCAGCCUGAAAAAUGGUUACCCGCUAGUCUACCCCACUCACCCGCUCCACACUGCCCUCUCUUCCAGUGCCACCCCGAGCCUGCCAGGCCACCCGCUCUACACCUACGGCUUCAUGAUCCAAAACGAUGCCCUCAGCCACAUAUGCAACUGGGUGUCGGCCAGUGGACCCUGCGACAAGAGGUUUGCCACCUCGGAGGAACUCUUGGCCCACUUACGGACCCACACCACUCUGCCUGGGGCGGAGAAACUCUUAGCUGGGUACCCUACCUCUGGCCUGGGCACAGCGGCUUCAUGCCACCUCCAUCUGCCACCCACUGCCCCUGGCAGCCCCAGCUCUUUACCUGGCUCCUUUUCCUUGAGAAGCCCGCACACUUUGGGACUAAGCCGGUACCAUCCUUAUGGCAAGAGCCAUUUGCCUGCAGCUGGGGCACUGUCGGUGCCCUCUUUACCCACUGCUGGACCCUACUACUCUCCUUAUGCCCUUUAUGGCCAAAGACUAACCUCAGCCUCCGCACUUGGAUACCAGUAACUCCAGCUUGCCACCCCCUGCGUCUUAUCGCCUCACCCUCCCUUAUGCCCUUGCCCAGGAUUUUGUAUUUAUUUACUGUAUGUUAGCUUAAAAAGCUGGGAAUCGAAGUGCAUUAAUACACCAAUGAAUCGAUGGUAUGCAAAAAAAAGUGUCUCCAAACCAACAAAAAUACCCAACUUAAUUUUUCAUUUUGCAGGUGUGUGGGGGGGGGUUCUUGAUGGUGGUUUUCUCUUCUUUUUCCCCUCUCCUUUUAUGUUUUAAAAACAAUAUCUCCCAGUCCCCGUGAACUGUUUUGCAUGAAUUUCAACAAAAUGCAUUUCUCCCUCUGCUCCUUUCUUUUGUUUUUAACCCUUUUUUUAAACAACAAAAAAAUUCAGUUUCUCUUCCUUUUGUAUAGUUACCAGAAAUGUAAUGUCUUUUAUUUCUUUUUCCCCCUUUGUAUCAUGUUCAAAGGAAAAAGGGUGGCGGGUGGUCAAGUCAAAAACGGGAGACGCCCACAGCUUUGUUCUAACGACAGGAUCAGAAGAGCGCCACCGUGGCAUAUGCCACCGCUUUGAUGCCAGGGUGCUGUGAGAAAGCGCCCUGGAUCGGUUGUGUGACUCCUGCUCUCCUAAAGUCAAUGUCUUUUCUCUCCUAUAAAGUCCAAGCUUGCCACACUUUCAGAGUUAGUGGAUGCCCAAGAAAGAGAGAGAGAAAGCCAGCUGGGAUGCCAAUCUGCCUGCUUACCUGGAUUUUGCUGAAGACACUGGCAUCCGGAAAGAAGGACAUUCCACCAGCGACGGCACACCUCUCCCUUUUUUCUUUGGUUCCUUUUUUCCUUCCUUUAAAAGGAUCUGGAUUUUAUUUUAUUUUUUUUAAAAAAGAAAAAGCAUUGGCAAACAUCCUUGAGGGACAGGAAUGGAAGAACUUUCUUUAUGUGCGCCAAAUGAAGAACUUUUGCUUAGCUUAGCUCAAGCUGGGAUUCUUUGCAAGGAGUCUCGCUCGCCCGUGGGGUGGCAAUGCCCCUCGACUGUAGACUCAAAUCUACAUACCAAAAAAAAAUAAUAAUAAUAAUAACAAUACCCAAACAAAAACAAAAUGACCACCUAAACCUCCCUAAUGGCCUCCAUUGCCCCAUUUCUCUUGACCAAUGGGAAUGGGACAGCCAUUAGGGUUUGGAGAGCCUCCCCAGUCCCCAGUCUAUCGCAGCAUGGAAGGCUGCAGAUCAUUUUUGGGUGAAUGAGCUCCGUUCUGAUUAACAUCUGGAAAACAAGCAUGGAAGAUUGCUAAGCUAUAUGACCACUGCGGCAAGACUCCUCCACACUCAAAGAUGGAAGGAUCCAAUGAUACCCAAACUAUCUGAUCAGAGAAAAAUCAUUAGCGGGAUUUUUGAAAGACCCUAAUUGUCUUUUUGCAGGAAAAAAAGAGAAUGCUAUGAUAACAGUACAUUUUGAUCAUUAGUAGGCUUGAAUUAAUAGAAGAAGUGUAUGAAAUAUUAUUUAUCUGAAGCAGUUAGACUUUAUAUAUUCAGAUUUAUAGCCACCAGGAAAGAAAGCCUGAAGUCAUAAUUUAAUUUUUCCUUUAUUGUUCCUGG